AUCWWCAGUAAGCGGAGGAAAAGAAACUAACCAGGAUUCUCCUAGUAACGGCGAGUGAACGGAGAUUAGCCCAUCACCGAAGCCUGCGUGUGUUUGCAUGCUAGGCAAUGUGGUGUUUAAGCUUGUACCUGGGAUCGUGUGCCUACCCGAAGUCUAAAUCCGAUUGUGGCUUUGGAUUCAUUCCAUAGCGGGUGAAAGUCCCGUGCGGGUAGGACUAUUGUAAUCUACACGAUCCUCAGAUGUGCAUGCUUUCGAGUCGGAUUGCUUGAGAAUGCAGUCCAAAGUGGGUGGUAAACUCCAUCCAAGGCUAAAUACUGGCACGAGUCCGAUAGUAGACAAGUACCGUGAGGGAAAGUUGAAAAGUACUCUGAAGAGAGAGUAAAUAGUACGUGAAGCCGAUUGCAGGGAAGCUGGUGGAGUCAAGCUUCGUGCUUGAGGGAUUGAUGCUGAGAGCAGGUGUGUCAUUUGUAUGCGAGUUUGGUCAACUUGGAAUAAGUUGGGCGUGUUCUGAAUGCGCUUCAAGUCAUUCUGGGUAGACUGUUUGUGGCCAUGCUCGCUUUACUACUCUCAGUAUUGUAUUCCUCGCUGCACAGGCCACAGUCGAUACGUGCAUGCGGUAUGAAGGUCUAACUGUGCUUCGGCGGGUGCAAGCUCUCCGUGUGCAGGAUGGCAGGUGCUGUCUUCAGGCCUCGUGUCUGUUGGUAGUUGUUGUGGUUUCGACCGGCUGGUCUUCAUACUGUAUUGUGCAUAUUGCCUAUGAAUGGCGCUGCUUCUUCGGAAGUAGUGCUGUGAAGAACUGUGGCUCUGACGWAGUCCC
Molecule: ribosomal RNA, 817 nt
Filed under: Cichlidogyrus sclerosus
Lineage: Eukaryota; Metazoa; Platyhelminthes; Monogenea; Dactylogyridea; Ancyrocephalidae
Description: partial large subunit ribosomal RNA
Source: RNAcentral